Molecule: ribosomal RNA, 392 nt
Filed under: uncultured bacterium
Lineage: Bacteria
Description: partial 16S ribosomal RNA
Rfam family: Bacterial small subunit ribosomal RNA
Source: RNAcentral
AUACGGAGGAUCCGAGCGUUAUCCGGAUUUAUUGGGUUUAAAGGGUGCGCAGGCGGCCAUUUAAGUCAGCGGUUAAAUCGUGGGGCUCAACCCCAUUCUGCCGUUGAUACUGGGUGGCUUGAUUGCGGUCGAGGUUGGCGGAAUUCGUUGUUAAGCGGUGAAAUGCAUAGAUAUCACGAAGAACUCCGAUUGCGAAGGCAGCUCACUGGACUGCAACUGACACUGAUGCUCGAAAGUGUGGGUAUCAAACAGGAUUAGAUACCCUGGUAGUCCACACAGUAAACGAUGAAUACUCGCUGUUUGCGAUAUACAGUAAGCGGCCAAGCGAAAGCAUUAAGUAUUCCACCUGGGGAGUACGCCGGCAACGGUGAAACUCAAAGGAAUUGGCGGGG